RNAcentral lists this long non-coding RNA (1170 nucleotides) under Camelus dromedarius (Arabian camel). Its description in RNAcentral is "lncRNA (ENSCDRG00005006323.1)". Lineage: Eukaryota; Metazoa; Chordata; Mammalia; Artiodactyla; Camelidae. The record is from RNAcentral.
GCACAUUUUGCAAAAACUUUUAUGAUGGGUGUUAACCUUCCAUAGGUGUAUCAGCGAUCGGAAGUGUGAGAAUGCACUUCCAGCUGCUUUGUGACUGUCCGCGCCUUCACAGCUGGUGCUGGCAGAAGAGCUCUUGCCGGUUCUCCACUCCCUGGGGGGAGUUUAUGCUGAGGGUGCUCAGCGGGGGUUCAGUUUGCACCUCAUCUGCUUUUUUGUUCUGCCUGUGGCCACACUUGGGGGUGGUAUUCUGGCCUCCUCUCCCCUCCGGGAGGAAGGUGGGACACGUGCUCCUGGCCGCCUGGCCUCCAGCCAUGGGACUUCUGUACCAUCUGCAGGUGCCUCCCAGUGCGCUGUGGCAGUGGCAGGUCUCCGUCCCGUUGUCUCCACAGGACCAGGGAAGGACUUCCUAGGAGCAGAGCGCCUGCUGUGGAGCGGACUGUUCACUCGGCGGGGGCUGGGGGACUGCCCCUCGUGUCCUCUGUGUGUCACUUGGCCUUUGGGCUUCUGUGUCUUCAUUAGGAAAUGUACUGUUUGGACUGGGUCAUCUGAAAGACUUUCCAGUUCCCAGCGUGUGGCGGCGGAGAGGCCGAGGCUGAGUCCGGAAAGAUGGCCAACGGGUCCAGUCCAGAGCAGGGAGGCCACGGGCCAGGCUGGAGAGGGUGGAGUGGGACUUCCCGGCCGCCCCUGUGGGCCACUGCCCUGUGACACAGCCCUGUUUCCUCAGACUGCCCCUCCCUGGACACUCCUUCCCUCCAGUCUGAUCUUAUUUCCACUCUUGAUAAACAGACCAAAGGAGGGGGACGCAUCAGUCUCUCAUUUCUCAACGCUUUUCACUCAGCCAGAGAUCACCCCUCUACCCCCAGUGCUUCCUGACAGAGCCUUUUCCUGUUUAAAGGGAAUGCUGGACUCCCUGUUUCCCCUGACAGUUGGGAUCUCAUAUUUGCCUGUGGUUACCCGAGACUGACUGAUUUCGUUGCCUUUUAGGGCAUCAAGAGAAGUUCUGUAGGGGACAAUCUUGGGCUGUAGAAGGAUGAAGAGAUUAGGAGAGAAAGUUUCUCUAGUCAGAAUACAGCUGUCUGAGGGCUAAGUUAUAUUCAGUUUCUUUUUUUGGUAGAAAAAGGAAAAUGUCCCAAGUCGUUGAGUUCUUCCUCCCUUAUAAAAAGUGCAACC